UACAGGGCAAUAUGCACGG
This 19-nucleotide unclassified non-coding RNA is filed under the name Chlamydomonas reinhardtii. RNAcentral's name for it is "small RNA Cre_2182". The record is from RNAcentral. Lineage: Eukaryota; Viridiplantae; Chlorophyta; Chlorophyceae; Chlamydomonadales; Chlamydomonadaceae.